RNAcentral lists this unclassified non-coding RNA (233 nucleotides) under uncultured fungus. Its description in RNAcentral is "sequence contains ITS1, 5.8S rRNA gene". The stretch from base 185 to 233 matches the Rfam family "5.8S ribosomal RNA", at positions 1 to 49 of the family's 154-position model. Lineage: Eukaryota; Fungi. The record is from RNAcentral.
UCUCCGUAGGUGAACCUGCGGAGGGAUCAUUACCGAGUGAGGGUCCUUGUGGCCCGACCUCCAACCCCCUGUCUUCCGACUCUGUUGCCUCGGGGGCGACCCUGCCUUCGGGCGGGGGCUCCGGGUGGACACUUCAAACUCUUGCGUAACUUUGCAGUCUGAGUAAACUUAAUUAAUAAAUUAAAACUUUUAACAACGGAUCUCUUGGUUCUGGCAUCGAUGAAGAACGCAGC